This 322-nucleotide unclassified non-coding RNA is filed under the name Abortiporus biennis. RNAcentral describes it as "partial internal transcribed spacer region". The stretch from base 1 to 46 matches the Rfam family "Eukaryotic small subunit ribosomal RNA", at positions 1786 to 1831 of the family's 1831-position model. Lineage: Eukaryota; Fungi; Basidiomycota; Agaricomycetes; Polyporales; Podoscyphaceae. The record is from RNAcentral.
AAGUCGUAACAAGGUUUCCGUAGGUGAACCUGCGGAAGGAUCAUUACUGAAUUUUUAAUGCCUUGGUUGUUGCUGGCCUUUUAUUAGGCAUGUGCACGCCUCGGUUAUUUCCAAAUUCUUUACACCUCUGUGCACUUUACAUGGAUUUUUUAUAUUUUCUUAUUGAUGGACGUUCGAGCUUGCCACCGCGAGUUUGACGAAAGUCAAUUGAAGAUUUAAAGUCUGUGGUUUACACAUUUAUACGCUUCAGUUUAAAGAAUGUAAUACUCGCGUUUAACGCAAUUAAAUAAUACAACUUUCAGCAACGGAUCUCUUGGCUCUC